This 333-nucleotide ribosomal RNA is filed under the name Staphylococcus aureus. RNAcentral describes it as "bacterial SSU rRNA". It matches the Rfam family "Bacterial small subunit ribosomal RNA", at positions 1 to 323 of the family's 1533-position model. The record is from RNAcentral. Lineage: Bacteria; Bacillati; Bacillota; Bacilli; Caryophanales; Staphylococcaceae.
UUUAUGGAGAGUUUGAUCCUGGCUCAGGAUGAACGCUGGCGGCGUGCCUAAUACAUGCAAGUCGAGCGAACGGACGAGAAGCUUGCUUCUCUGAUGUUAGCGGCGGACGGGUGAGUAACACGUGGAUAACCUACCUAUAAGACUGGGAUAACUUCGGGAAACCGGAGCUAAUACCGGAUAAUAUUUUGAACCGCAUGGUUCAAAAGUGGAAGACGGUCUUGCUGUCACUUAUAGAUGGAUCCGCGCUGCAUUAGCUAGUUGGUAAGGUAACGGCUUACCAAGGCAACGAUGCAUAGCCGACCUGAGAGGGUGAUCGGCCACACUGGAACUGAG